Molecule: ribosomal RNA, 2917 nt
Filed under: Lactiplantibacillus plantarum subsp. plantarum
Lineage: Bacteria; Bacillati; Bacillota; Bacilli; Lactobacillales; Lactobacillaceae
Description: bacterial LSU rRNA
Rfam family: Bacterial large subunit ribosomal RNA
Source: RNAcentral
AGGUUAAGUUAACAAGGGCGCAUGGUGAAUGCCUUGGCACUAGGAGCCGAUGAAGGACGGGACUAACACCGAUAUGCUUCGGGAGCUGUACGUAAGCUAUGAUCCGGAGAUUUCCGAAUGGGGCAACCCAGCAGUUUUAAUCAACUGUUACCACUAGAUGAAUUCAUAGUCUAGUUGGAGGUAAACGCUGUGAACUGAAACAUCUCAUUAGCAGCAGGAAUAUAAAGAAAUUUCGAUUCCCUAAGUAGCGGCGAGCGAACGGGGAACAGCCCAAACCAAAGUGCUUGCACUUUGGGGUUGUAGGACUGAACAUUUGAGUUACCAAAGAACUUGAUAGUCGAAGGAUUUGGGAAAAUCCGCCAUAGAUGGUGAUAGCCCAGUAGAUUAAAUCAAAUUCUCUCAGUUCAGGAUCCUGAGUACGGCGGAACACGUGAAAUUCCGUCGGAAUCCGGGAGGACCAUCUCCCAAGGCUAAAUACUACCUAGUGACCGAUAGUGAACCAGUACCGUGAGGGAAAGGUGAAAAGCACCCGGGAGGGAGUGAAAUAGUUCCUGAAACCAUGUGCCUACAAUAAGUCAGAGCGCGUUAAUGCGUGAUGGCGUGCCUUUUGUAGAAUGAACCGGCGAGUUAUGAUCCCGUGCAAGGUUAAGACUAAAAAGUCGGAGCCGUAGCGAAAGCGAGUCUGAAAUGGGCGUUUUGAGUACGAGGUUAUAGACCCGAAACCAGGUGACCUAUCCAUGUCCAGGUUGAAGGUGCGGUAAAACGCACUGGAGGACCGAACCCGUGUAAGUUGAAAAUUGCUGGGAUGAGGUGUGGAUAGCGGUGAAAUUCCAAACGAACUUGGAGAUAGCUGGUUCUCUCCGAAAUAGCUUUAGGGCUAGCCUCGGAAUUAGGAUCAUGGAGGUAGAGCACUAUUUGGACUAGGGGCCCGUCUUGGGUUACUGAAUUCAGAUAAACUCCGAAUGCCAUUGAUUCAUAUCCGGGAGUCAGACGAUGAGUGAUAAGAUCCACCGUCGAAAGGGGAACAGCCCAGACCAUCAGUUAAGGUCCCUAAAUGUAUGCUAAGUGGAAAAGGAUGUGGAGUUGCAUAGACAACUAGGAUGUUGGCUCAGAAGCAGCCACCAUUUAAAGAGUGCGUAAUAGCUCACUAGUCGAGUGAUCCUGCGCCGAAAAUGUACCGGGGCUAAGCAUACUACCGAAACCAUGGAUGCGACCAUUAGGUCGCGUGAUAGGAGAGCGUUCUAAGGGCGGUGAAGCAAGAUCGUGAGGACUUGUGGAGCGCUUAGAAGUGAGAAUGCCGGUAUGAGUAGCGAAAGAUAGGUGAGAAUCCUAUCCACCGAAUGACUAAGGUUUCCUGGGGAAGGCUCGUCCUCCCAGGGUUAGUCGGGACCUAAGUCGAGGCCGAGAGGCGUAGACGAUGGAUAACAGGUUGAGAUUCCUGUACUAGUUAAGUGCGUUUGAGCAAUGGAGGGACGCAGGAGGCUAAGAUGUGCAUUCUGUUGGAUUAGAAUGUCCAAGCAGUAAGUCUUGUGAAGAGUCAAAUGCUUUUCACUUUAAGGACAAGCUGUGAUGGGGAGCGAAAUUUAGUAGCGAAGCGUCUGAUGUCACACUGCCGAGAAAAGCUUCUAGUGAGUACUUAACUACCCGUACCGCAAACCGACACAGGUAGUCGAGGAGAGAAUCCUAAGGUGAGCGAGUGAACUCUCGUUAAGGAACUCGGCAAAAUGACCCCGUAACUUCGGGAGAAGGGGUGCUGAUCGCAAGAUCAGCCGCAGUGAAUAGGCCCAGGCGACUGUUUAUCAAAAACACAGGUCUCUGCAAAAUCGUAAGAUGACGUAUAGGGGCUGACGCCUGCCCGGUGCUGGAAGGUUAAAAGGAUGGGUUAGCUUCGGCGAAGCUCAGAAUUGAAGCCCAGUAAACGGCGGCCGUAACUAUAACGGUCCUAAGGUAGCGAAAUUCCUUGUCGGGUAAGUUCCGACCCGCACGAAAGGCGUAACGAUCUGGGCACUGUCUCAACGAGAGACUCGGUGAAAUUAUAUUGUCCGUGAAGAUGCGGACUACCCGCGACAGGACGGAAAGACCCCAUGGAGCUUUACUGUAGCUUGAUAUUGAGUGUUUGUACAGCUUGUACAGGAUAGGUAGGAGCCAUAGAAACCGGAACGCUAGUUUCGGUGGAGGCGUUGGUGGGAUACUACCCUCGCUGUAUGACCACUCUAACCCGCACCACUAAUCGUGGUGGGAGACAGUGUCAGGUGGGCAGUUUGACUGGGCGGUCGCCUCCUAAAAAGUAACGGAGGCGCCCAAAGGUUCCCUCAGAAUGGUUGGAAAUCAUUCGCAGAGUGUAAAGGCACAAGGGAGCUUGACUGCGAGACAGACAGGUCGAGCAGGGACGAAAGUCGGGCUUAGUGAUCCGGUGGUACCGUAUGGAAGGGCCAUCGCUCAACGGAUAAAAGCUACCCUGGGGAUAACAGGCUUAUCUCCCCCAAGAGUCCACAUCGACGGGGAGGUUUGGCACCUCGAUGUCGGCUCAUCGCAUCCUGGGCUGUAGUCGGUCCCAAGGGUUGGGCUGUUCGCCCAUUAAAGCGGUACGCGAGCUGGGUUCAGAACGUCGUGAGACAGUUCGGUCCCUAUCCGUCGCGGGCGUAGGAAAUUUGAGAGGACCUGUCCUUAGUACGAGAGGACCGGGAUGGACAUACCUCUGGUGUACCAGUUGUGCCGCCAGGCGCAUCGCUGGGUAGCUACGUAUGGAUGUGAUAAACGCUGAAAGCAUCUAAGUGUGAAACACACCUCGAGAUGAGAUUUCCCAUUCCUUUAUGGAAGUAAGACCCCUGAAAGAUGAUCAGGUAGAUAGGUUAGAAGUGGCAGUGCGGUGACGCAUGAAGCGGACUAAUACUAAUCGGUCGAGGACUUAACCAAG